GCUUUACCCAGCCUGCGUUCAUGAUGCCAGCAAGGCAGGGCCACCAAAACAGAAAAAUGGAAGAUGAAUUUUGUGGAAAGAUUGUAUUAUUUGAAAUUUCAAAGAGAGCGCUGCCGUCGUCCUCACAGACGGAGUUUCGCUCUUCUUGCCCUGGCUGGAGUACAAUGGUGCAAUCUCAGCUCACCCCAACCUCUGCCUCCUGGGUUCAAGCAAUUCUCCUGCCUCCGCCUCCUGAGUACCUGGGAUUACAGGGGUUGGUGGAUUUUUAGGAAGCCGGGACUCUGUCAUCAUCUGAAAAUACCCAUUUCUGAUGCUACUGCCAUUCCCUGUUACCUGAUACUCAAAGCAUCGCCCAGUGUUGGGUGGAGUUUCGGCUGCAUUCACUCAUACAUGAGCCAAAGUCGCUAAAGCCAGCAGGGAUGGGAGCCUGUAGGAGCCACUCUGACCAGCGCAGCAUUGGAGGAACCCUACUGGAGGCCCCUCAUGGGAGCAGAUGGCAAGGGCGCCCAGAAACAGAGUCUUGAUAUUUGCUCAGUCUGGACUCCGACUUCUGGGCUCAAGUGAGCCAAUGGCUCAGCCUCUCACGGAACUGGGACUACAGAUGUGAGCCAUUGCACCCAGCUUAUGCUGGGAGUUAUUCAGAAUCAUAUGCUUUGGCACUACCUUGCAGUAAGAAAACUAAGGUGCUUAACCAGUUAGAAGGGCCUCACUCCUUAUAGGGGUUUCAGAGCAGGGCCAAGAUGGUCCUGAACAAGCCAUGCUGGGACCACCUCCAGGACAAACCGUGGAGGUAGAUUCAACACUCUCUCUCUUUUUGUGGCCUGUAUAGGGACCAAAAUACUUUCCCAGCGCUGUGCAGUCUUUGCAGCUGGAACAUGGUUCUGUGUGUGUGUGUGUGUGUGUGUGUGUGUGUGUGUGUGUUUGAGACAGGGUCUGGCUCUGUCAUCCAGACUGG
Molecule: non-coding RNA, 955 nt
Organism: Chlorocebus sabaeus (green monkey)
Lineage: Eukaryota; Metazoa; Chordata; Mammalia; Primates; Cercopithecidae
Source: RefSeq, a predicted model, not a curated record